AAGCAUUCUCUGGUGUUGAAGGCCCUGCAAAGCAGCAUCGCGGUGGCGGAGCGUCGUUUGCGACGCCCAACACACAAAACAAGCGGUGAGUGCUUUGGGGUGGGGUGACUGCGUACCUUUUGUAUAAUGGGUCAGCGACUUAUAUUCUGUAGCAAGGUUAACCGUAUAGGGGAGCCGAAGGGAAACCGAGUCUUAACUGGGCGUUAAGUUGCAGGGUAUAGACCCGAAACCCGGUGAUCUAGCCAUGGGCAGGUUGAAGGUUGGGUAACACUAACUGGAGGACCGAACCGACUAAUGUUGAAAAAUUAGCGGAUGACUUGUGGCUGGGGGUGAAAGGCCAAUCAAACCGGGAGAUAGCUGGUUCUCCCCGAAAGCUAUUUAGGUAGCGCCUCGUGAACUCAUCUUCGGGGGUAGAGCACUGUUUCGGCUAGGGGGUCAUCCCGACUUACCAACCCGAUGCAAACUGCGAAUACCGAAGAAUGUUAUCACGGGAGACACACGGCGGGUGCUAACGUCCGUCGUGAAGAGGGAAACAACCCAGACCGCCAGCUAAGGUCCCAAAGUCACAGUUAAGUGGGAAACGAUGUGGGAAGGCUCAGACAGCCAGGAUGUUGGCUUAGAAGCAGCCAUCAUUUAAAGAAAGCGUAAUAGCUCACUGGUCGAGUCGGCCUGCGCGGAAGAUGUAACGGGGCUAAACUGUGCACCGAAGCUGCGGCAGCGACGCUUAUGCGUUGUUGGGUAGGGGAGCGUUCUGUAAGCCUGCGAAGGUGUCCUGUGAGGGAUGCUGGAGGUAUCAGAAGUGCGAAUGCUGACAUAAGUAACGAUAAUGCGGGUGAAAAGCCCGCUCGCCGGAAGACCAAGGGUUCCUGUCCAACGUUAAUCGGGGCAGGGUGAGUCGACCCCUAAGGCGAGGCCGAAAGGCGUAGUCGAUGGGAAACGGGUUAAUAUUCCCGUACUUGGUGUUACUGCGAAGGGGGGACGGAGAAGGCUAUGUUGGCCGGGCGACGGUUGUCCCGGUUUAAGCGUGUAGGCUGGUUUUCCAGGCAAAUCCGGAAAAUCAAG
RNAcentral lists this ribosomal RNA (1062 nucleotides) under Salmonella enterica. RNAcentral's name for it is "partial 23S ribosomal RNA". It matches the Rfam family "Bacterial large subunit ribosomal RNA", at positions 566 to 1554 of the family's 2925-position model. Lineage: Bacteria; Pseudomonadati; Pseudomonadota; Gammaproteobacteria; Enterobacterales; Enterobacteriaceae. RNAcentral also lists the same sequence under 1 other name. The record is from RNAcentral.